ACGCACGCAUCAUCAACCAUGCUACGGAAUCUUGUCAAGAAAGGUGAACACACGAAAAGGACAAGGACUAAUUAGGUAAUAUGAUAUCAGCUUUCAUCAAAAACUCAGAAAACGACGUCGUUUAUUAGAUCCAACAAGAUCUGAAGAUGGUGUUGAAUAGCGGCGUGGUGGUUCGGGUAGCGCACGUAUCAGCGAACCUUUUUCAGUACAUAGCGUGUAACCCUGAGAUUCUACAAAGCGACGUCGUUUUGCAACUCCUCUUCUGUCUCCCUCUCCAACCGUUCCAACGCUUGGCUCUUUCUCUUUGGUCCUACCUUGGCUAUAAUUAUGAUGAUGUUAAUCAUCGUCCACACUCUGAAUGAUUGAUGAUCUUCUUAUCGUAAUAAUCACCGUAUCUGUAUAUAUGUAUGUAUGUAAUGUAAUUUAUGGUUAAUGAAUUACUGUUGUGUGUUGUUACUAUAUUUUGUAUUAAAAUGUUUUAUGCAUGUUAGAUCUUUAGAUUGUUAGGUUGUUGCUGUUUUUGUUUAAUUUGUGAAUGGAUGUUUUGUUUCAUAUUUGUGUGUUGAUGUCUUUUCCUGGAUAAAAGAGCGGCUUAGUGCAUGAGAGUUUCACCUGGUAGGGUUUGGAGGGUAGAUAUAUGUUGCCUUGUCGGUGAACAGUGAGACUGUUUUCAGGAUUUGAACCGGUUAUGUAUGAGUUACUAAUUGGACAAGUCUGGAAAAUUUAUAGAAGUUGGGAUUUAUUUGGUAUGUUGGAAGGAAACCCUGUGUGUGUCAGAGGAGUUGGAUUAAGCUGGUGGCUAGAGCUCAACAACACCUACCAGUGGUUAAAUACUAUAUCAAUUUAAUCUGGCAGGUGUUGGAUGUAGAUAGUAUAGAAUCAAAUUUGCACCUUAUAGAGAGGUUUUAUUCAAAUCUUUUGUAUUAAGAACAAUUUUUUAUGACCAUUGUUGGGUAUAUUCAAGUAUGAUAUUCACAUUGGAUAGAAAAGGAUGUUUAGAAGAGUUUAUAAGUCGAAAAAACAUAUGAAACUACUGAUUUGAGGCUUCCGUAAAAAGGAUGUGAUGUCUCGCUUGCGGUUGCUGGUCCUAAUAACUACUUUUUCACAGAGGAGAAAAAGAAAGAAGGCUUUGUUGAGUCCAGGAGGAGAAAAACAGAGGAUGUGAAGGUUUAAACCUCCACCUCAGUUGAGCAUGCUUACUGCAGUGCAUGGAGUACUUAGCACUAACCGUACAAUUAGUAUAAUUAUUAUACAUUUUGUUUGUUGUGCUUUUAUUUAGUCAAAUUCUCAUGGAUUUUAGUUUCAUGAAGUUGUGCUUACCUUUAGAUUUUAGUCUGUAACUUAACAGUUGUGUCAAUGUUUUUGGUAUUCUCAUUGAAAUUUUCCCCUUUAUUGAUAGUCAAAAGGUUUUCUGAGAAUUAUAAUCACAGCCUGGAAAAUUGCUUAGUCUAAGCUGUUUCAGCAAUUGACUUACUUUUCUUUUGGUUUUAAUUGAAUGGAGCAAUUUAUGUCAAGUGUUUUGAAGGGUUGUCAAUUAGAUAAGUGUUUUUAAGGGUUGUUGUAUUUACUUUUGUUUCAAACUCCUAAAAAAUAAGAUUAGAAAGCUGCAAGGCUUUGGUUGUGGCAUUUCAGUAAUUACAUUUGCCAAUACAAGUGUGUUAUACUAGGUGAUGGUUGUCAAAUGGAGGGAAUUGCAAAUGAAUUAUGCUCAAAUGCUACCCUAUUGGAACUCUGGAAGCUAAUUGCAUUUUGGGCUACCAACUUCACUUCUUUAAUCAAAGUUUGGUUUGUAGUUUAUGAAUGUGUUUUGUUUAAGUUUUCCAUAUAAUCUUCCAUUUGAAUAUUAAAGAAGGCUCUUAAAAUAUGGCUUGGAGUUCCAUCUUCACCUGCUGUAAAUUUUGAUUUACUUCUCACUCCUUUGGUUCCUUUGAUUCUAUCAAUCCUGAUUUAUUUGACUUUGCUGAAACAAUGCAGGUUGAAACUCCUUCAAGCAUAGAGAAACAAAGCUAAUUAUUUACAUAAAAAUAGUCAUGAUUUAAUGAGGAAACCAUAAAUGUUUGAUGAGCUUGUAAUGAAAAUAGUAAAUGACAAUAUUGAGUGCAGAGGGUGGAGCUAAAACCUGUAGGUUGGCUUUGUUGGAAAAUUCGGGGGCUGUUAGAUGUAGUAGGGGUGAGUAGGACCCGGCUUUACCUAAUUUGGCCCGAUCGUGAUUGGGGCCUGAAUAAGGUCGGAUUUCAUUAAAUCUAGGGUUGAGUUUGGGUUUAAAUAAUAGACUCAGUCAAUAUUUAGGGUCGGGGUAGAGGACAAACAUGACGUAGCCCG
This 2322-nucleotide long non-coding RNA is filed under the name Lupinus angustifolius (narrow-leaved blue lupine). RNAcentral describes it as "long non-coding RNA (LANG_LNC001689)". The record is from RNAcentral. Lineage: Eukaryota; Viridiplantae; Streptophyta; Magnoliopsida; Fabales; Fabaceae.